This 450-nucleotide long non-coding RNA is filed under the name Olea europaea subsp. europaea. The record is from RNAcentral. Lineage: Eukaryota; Viridiplantae; Streptophyta; Magnoliopsida; Lamiales; Oleaceae.
UCGGACUCGGGUACAGGUAUCCGGUAUGGGUACAUAUCUAGGUGUCGGAUCUUUUAUUUUCUAAAAUAUAAGAUACGGCGACAUGGUUAAAAAGAGUCCAAUUUUCAAACACAGGUACGUGGAUACGUCUUUCAAGGUUCAAUUUUUUUUUACUAAUUCAAGAAGUCAUUUUGAAUAAAUCAAAAUCUAUUAUUCACAAAGAAGGAAAUGGAUAUUGAAUAAGGUGUUGAGACGAAUAAAAUAGAUUUUGGGGUUUAGUUUUCAAUUAUAGACAUUAUUAAAUAUUAUAUAAAAUAGCAAAUAAUGGACUUGAUUAUAAUUUGGACUUAGUGGAGAACUAAUUAGAAACGGGAAAGAAGAAAAUGAAAGGAAAAAAAAGAAAGAAAGAAGAAAAGCAAAAACGAAGUGUCCGAUUAAAAUUUGGAGGAUUCGACACAUAUCUCAUACCCA